AUAAAUGCAAAGACGAAGAAUAGUACUUUUGAAUGGGUUGUCCAGAGAAUCUGUAUUUGGUGAAAACAGAUCUUCCCAUCAUUAGGAAUGGACUUCUGAGCAUGGUUUACGAACCGGAUUUCGGUGUAGUUCAUCACGUACCUUCACGUUACGAAGUUAAAGAGGCCAAGAUUUUUUGGCAAUCUGGGUGGUACCACGGAUUCACACAUCAUUCGUCCCUUUU
RNAcentral lists this non-coding RNA (223 nucleotides) under Paenisporosarcina sp. Its description in RNAcentral is "T-box sequence". It matches the Rfam family "T-box leader". Rfam says of the family: Uncharged tRNA acts as the effector for transcription antitermination of genes in the T-box leader family. Lineage: Bacteria; Bacillati; Bacillota; Bacilli; Caryophanales; Caryophanaceae. The record is from RNAcentral.